AUGGAGAUUUACUCCAAGGAGGAAGAGUUUUGGCGCCAACGCGGCUCCAUUAACUGGGUGCUAUUUGGGGAUGCCAACACCGCUUACUUCCAGGCUAUCGCCAAUGGCCGUAGGCGUCGUUGUUCCAUCCCCCUCCUUUGGGAGGGUGGACAGUUGUUUCAGGACCACCAGGCUAUUCGCCUGCUAGUUGACGACUUUUACAAGUCACUAUUUCAGGGGCGGCCGCGAAAUGGUGUCGCCCUUGUCGACCACAUCUGGUCGCGCGACCAACAGAUUUCCCCCGAGGAAAAUGCGGCCCUGCUUUCCCCCUUCGAUGCCGCGGAAGUUAUGACUGUUGUCAAAGCUAUGAACCUGACCUCGGCCCCAGGCCCCAAUGGCUUGCCGGUCCGGUUUUUUCAGGCUUUCUGGCCGAUGGUUAAGGACAUCAUCCUUGACCUUUUCAGCGAAUUUUCUAGGGGAACCCUAGACGUGUCCCGACUUAACUACGGGAUUAUCUUCUUGAUUCCCAAGGUACCGGGUGCGACGGACAUUAGACAAUUCCGCCAUAUUGAUGUCUACUACACAACCUUCUUCUUGUAG
RNAcentral lists this ribosomal RNA (579 nucleotides) under Triticum aestivum (bread wheat). RNAcentral describes it as "partial small subunit ribosomal RNA". The record is from RNAcentral. Lineage: Eukaryota; Viridiplantae; Streptophyta; Magnoliopsida; Poales; Poaceae.